This 557-nucleotide long non-coding RNA is filed under the name Oryza sativa Indica Group (long-grained rice). Its description in RNAcentral is "lncRNA OsZS97_03G030690". Lineage: Eukaryota; Viridiplantae; Streptophyta; Magnoliopsida; Poales; Poaceae. The record is from RNAcentral.
GUUGAGUUGCUCUCUGAAAACCCUGCUGCGCUUGCCAGGUACCCUGUGGGCACUGAGUACGAUUGGGAAGAUGAGGUCACGCCCGCGUCCGACGUCGGUGACGCGGAGGGUGCCGGGUCCGACUUCGACCUCGACUUCGCGUUCGCGCCGCCGGUAUCAGCGGCCAAGUUGGUGCCGGCCGACGACAUCUUCGCGCACGGCCGCAUCGUGCCUGCGUACCCGGUGUUCGACCGCAACUUCCUCGACCUCUCACCUGGCGAUGUGGCAGAGCCUGCCUCCACGGCAGCGCCCUCCACCGACACCUACUGCGCGUGGACGCCGCGCUCGGCGCCGAGCUCGCCCAGCCUCGACAUCGCAGCGAGAUCAACGAGGGGGAAUUGCAACUCCGAGACGACGGCGAAGGGUGUUCCUGCUGCAUCUACAGUGGUGGAGAGAGAGAGAGGAGGGGAAGGGGAAAGAGAAGAGAGGGGAGGAAGGUGGGGCCCAUGUGCGGUUGGGGUUAACUGGGAUUUUUGACGGAAAAUGUGAUGGAGUGGCAUUGUUCUAAUUUCUCCCGU